CUCUAGUGACCGAUAGUGAACCAGUACCGUGAGGGAAAGGUGAAAAGUACCCCGGAAGGGGAGUGAAAGAGAACUUGAAACCGUGUGCUUACAAGUAGUCAGAGCCCGUUAAUGGGUGAUGGCGUGCCUUUUGUAGAAUGAACCGGCGAGUUACGAUCUGAUGCAAGGUUAAGCAGCAAAUGUGGAGCCGCAGCGAAAGCGAGUCUGAAUAGGGCGUUGAGUAUUUGGUCGUAGACCCGAAACCAGGUGAUCUACCCUUGGUCAGGUUGAAGUUCAGGUAACACUGAAUGGAGGACCGAACCGACUUACGUUGAAAAGUGAGCGGAUGAACUGAGGGUAGCGGAGAAAUUCCAAUCGAACUUGGAGAUAGCUGGUUCUCUCCGAAAUAGCUUUAGGGCUAGCCUCAAGUGAUGAUUAUUGGAGGUAGAGCACUGUUUGGACGAGGGGCCCCUCUCGGGUUACCGAAUUCAGACAAACUCCGAAUGCCAAUUAAUUUAACUUGGGAGUCAGAACAUGGGUGAUAAGGUCCGUGUUCGAAAGGGAAACAGCCCAGACCACCAGCUAAGGUCCCAAAAUAUAUGUUAAGUGGAAAAGGAUGUGGCGUUGCCCAGACAACUAGGAUGUUGGCUUAGAAGCAGCCAUCAUUUAAAGAGUGCGUAAUAGCUCACUAGUCGAGUGACACUGCGCCG
Molecule: ribosomal RNA, 689 nt
Filed under: Shigella flexneri
Lineage: Bacteria; Pseudomonadati; Pseudomonadota; Gammaproteobacteria; Enterobacterales; Enterobacteriaceae
Description: partial 23S ribosomal RNA
Rfam family: Bacterial large subunit ribosomal RNA
Source: RNAcentral